Molecule: long non-coding RNA, 621 nt
Organism: Triticum aestivum (bread wheat)
Lineage: Eukaryota; Viridiplantae; Streptophyta; Magnoliopsida; Poales; Poaceae
Exons: 2
Source: RefSeq, a predicted model, not a curated record
UUGCUAUCGCCCGCAAUCGCCCGCAUAGUUGGGUUGGCCCGUUCCCCUCCUCCUCGUUUCCCCUUCUCAUUUCACAGACGCAACUAGAACAGAGCGAGGGAGAGACAGUCAUGGCGAUUUGGAGCUCUCCUCGACGCCCGAUUCAGUACAGUGGUGGCCCGGCGUCUGGCUGCCCCGCCCCCUCCGUCUGCCGCGCUUAUUUCCCACCGGGUCUGUUCUUUCUUCCAGAUUUGUUCCGGCAAGAGAGAGACGACAGGAGGUGAUGAAUGCACAGGAGGGGUGGUGUUUACCUGUGUUUUUUUUUUUUUGCUUCUCCAGCCAUGUUUGUGUUCUAGAUCAUGGAUGAAUCGCUCUCUCUGGUGGCGCUUCUCCAGGGAUAAAUUUGGUACUUUCUCAGUGGAGUUGUAAUGUAAUUCUUUUGUGUGUUUUUAGUGGAAUUACAGUGUAUUUUUAGUGGAAUUACCGUGCAUUUUCAGUGGUUUUUACAUUGUAAUUGUUAGUGGAAUUACAGUGGAAUUUACACUGUAAAUCUUAGUGGGUUUACAGUGUAUUUUUAGUUGAUUUUUGCUCUGUAUUUGCAAGUGGCAUUUUUAGUGGAAUUACAGUGUAUUUUUAGUGGAA